GCUGAAUUAUGUUGAAGGUUAGACUAAAAGACCUCCAAGGUCCCUCCCAUCCAUACGAUUCUAUGGUUCUACUCUACAUACUUACGUCCAUGCUUCAGCCAGAAAGAUUCUGCUUGAGGAAUCCUGCUCGACUGUCCCAAUCAGCUUGGUUUUAUUCAAAAUUCAGUCAAAUUUAAUGUUCGGAAGCAUGCUGGUAAUAAAGAGAAAAAAUAUAGUUACCUGCCUUACACAUAGUUUCCAGAGAGGCAGCCACAUCAGUAUUUGGCAGUAAGUACAAAGUAUCUUCUGCAAAACUAAUCAAGUCAUCUUUGUGUUGCGCUUGACCAGUGGUGACUGUAUGGACAGGUCCAUAAUGGAUUUCUUGGCAACCAUGUGAAAGUUCUCUUGCACCUUUUCCCAGGAUGACUUUUUGACUUCCUAGUCUAAAUUACAACGCUGGACUUUCCUGACGGUCUCCCAUCCAACAAAUAACCAGGUCUGACUUCUUAAUCAUUUCAGAUCACGUCUGAUUUGCUCCCUUUCAAAAGACAGAGUCAUUGAUUGCCUCUGGAAUUUCUUACUGCUCUGGAAACAAGGAAUCCGUAAUGCUCUUCAUCUCUUCAUAUAACGUGACCUCAGAUACAGUUUGACUGAUUAAGGAGAGAGUUUCCCUUUCGCAGUAAUACAAGAGUUUGAUCUAUAAA
Molecule: long non-coding RNA, 683 nt
Organism: Pantherophis guttatus
Lineage: Eukaryota; Metazoa; Chordata; Lepidosauria; Squamata; Colubridae
Source: RefSeq, a predicted model, not a curated record